This 100-nucleotide signal recognition particle RNA is filed under the name Candidatus Fermentibacterota bacterium. RNAcentral describes it as "Candidatus Fermentibacteria bacterium signal recognition particle sRNA small type". It matches the Rfam family "Bacterial small signal recognition particle RNA". Rfam says of the family: The signal recognition particle (SRP) is a universally conserved ribonucleoprotein involved in the co-translational targeting of proteins to membranes. Lineage: Bacteria; Pseudomonadati; Candidatus Fermentibacterota. The record is from RNAcentral.
GAGCAGGACCCGCGCGGCGCACCGCCGUGAACCCGGUCAGGGUCGGAAGACAGCAGCCGUAAGCGGAAUGUUGCGGGUGAUGCGGACAAUCCUGCUCCCC